Amphiprion ocellaris (clown anemonefish) is the source of this 418-nucleotide long non-coding RNA. Lineage: Eukaryota; Metazoa; Chordata; Actinopteri; Pomacentridae. The record is from Ensembl.
UAAAGAGUCACUGAUUAGUCCAGGUGUGGUGCACAAGAGAUCCAUUGUUUUUGACCGCAGGCUGGUGUAGGCUGGUGGUGUUCUUUGAGUUGGAUUUUGGACACUUGAUUGUUGUUUUUUGAGCCAAAUAAAUAGAUUGGCAUAUUCAGCCAAAGUAAGUGACUUGUUGUAUUGUUUGUGGAUGUGAGGAACGAAGAAGCACGCCAACAAAGCUGCAAGAGAAAACUGUGAAGCAGAUGGGAUGAAGGACCUGCGAUAGCGCUCUUUCUUGCAGGGUGGAUGUCUCAGUCUGCUGCUGAAGGAGCUGCUUAAAGACCCCACAGUGUCAUGCAGUGGGUGAGAGGGAGAUAGUGAUGCAUCCCUUCCGUGGAACCUGUUACCUGGCAACCAGCUGAAUGAGGUCUGUAUGGUAUAAAAG